RNAcentral lists this unclassified non-coding RNA (955 nucleotides) under Hevea brasiliensis (rubber tree). The record is from RNAcentral. Lineage: Eukaryota; Viridiplantae; Streptophyta; Magnoliopsida; Malpighiales; Euphorbiaceae.
UACCAUCAAAAAUUCCACGUCUACCUAAAAGUAAGAAAGCUUUCAUCCUUAGCCCAAGCUUCCGAAACAUAAAUCUCUCCUCAUCUGUUAAGCUAUCAGGCUCUGCAUGCCUAUCCAAAGGAUUUAAAGUUUCCUCCACCUUUGACAAGACACGCUCAGCUUUCAUCAACUUUUUUUCAGCAAAUGCAAGCUUCUUUUCAAGCUUCCUGACCAGGUCACCAUGCCUUAAUAGUUCUGCUUCUCGCAUCACAUUCUCCUUGUGCUUAUCAUCCAGCCUUUUCCCCCAUCUAGCAUCAGCAUCCAAAGUUUCUCCUAGUGUGCCAGCAGUCCUUGAAGAAUUAAUUGUUGUAACACCUGCUGUGAGGUUGAGUGAUGCUCGUAGCCUAGCUUUCUCUUCUUCAUCUUGCAAGGUCUUUGCCAAUCUCUCCUUCUCUAACAAGGCUUCUGCAACCUCUGGUGAUAAAAAAUCUUUCCCUCUAUAGAAUACCAAGAAGUCCUUGUUUCUAGAUAGUAGCAUACCCCCUGUUAAUUUCUUUAUAUCCUCAGCCAUUCUCUCACUUGUUGUAAGCUGAACGCCACGUUUUAUAGCAAUCUUUGCAAUUGAACUUCGUUGCCACAGCUUAACCAUGACUGAGGCCAAACCUUGAUGCUGCCUGCUUCUACCUAAAGCAAAAUGUGGAGGUAGAACUCUGGCAAGCCUUCUUAAAGCAGUUGCUUCUCUUGCCGCAAGAGUAGAUCUCACCCCAUAUGGAAGAAUUCUGAAAGGAGGUUGAUAUCCAGGGACUAUACCUGGAAGUAAAUCUGCAUCUACAGGAAGUGGUCCGGAUCCUGGCCAAUCUGUAUACCUAGGCCCCAAGCCAUCUAACAGUUUGUCUACUUCAUCUUCAUAGUUCACUUCUGAUUGUCUAUCAAUACUUUUGUUCUCUUCAGAAGUAUCUACAGAGUCUUCUCGGAG